This 921-nucleotide ribosomal RNA is filed under the name Bacillus safensis. RNAcentral's name for it is "bacterial SSU rRNA". It matches the Rfam family "Bacterial small subunit ribosomal RNA", at positions 59 to 967 of the family's 1533-position model. The record is from RNAcentral. Lineage: Bacteria; Bacillati; Bacillota; Bacilli; Caryophanales; Bacillaceae.
AAUUCGAGCGGACAGAAGGGAGCUUGCUCCCGGAUGUUAGCGGCGGACGGGUGAGUAACACGUGGGUAACCUGCCUGUAAGACUGGGAUAACUCCGGGAAACCGGAGCUAAUACCGGAUAGUUCCUUGAACCGCAUGGUUCAAGGAUGAAAGACGGUUUCGGCUGUCACUUACAGAUGGACCCGCGGCGCAUUAGCUAGUUGGUGGGGUAAUGGCUCACCAAGGCGACGAUGCGUAGCCGACCUGAGAGGGUGAUCGGCCACACUGGGACUGAGACACGGCCCAGACUCCUACGGGAGGCAGCAGUAGGGAAUCUUCCGCAAUGGACGAAAGUCUGACGGAGCAACGCCGCGUGAGUGAUGAAGGUUUUCGGAUCGUAAAGCUCUGUUGUUAGGGAAGAACAAGUGCGAGAGUAACUGCUCGCACCUUGACGGUACCUAACCAGAAAGCCACGGCUAACUACGUGCCAGCAGCCGCGGUAAUACGUAGGUGGCAAGCGUUGUCCGGAAUUAUUGGGCGUAAAGGGCUCGCAGGCGGUUUCUUAAGUCUGAUGUGAAAGCCCCCGGCUCAACCGGGGAGGGUCAUUGGAAACUGGGAAACUUGAGUGCAGAAGAGGAGAGUGGAAUUCCACGUGUAGCGGUGAAAUGCGUAGAGAUGUGGAGGAACACCAGUGGCGAAGGCGACUCUCUGGUCUGUAACUGACGCUGAGGAGCGAAAGCGUGGGGAGCGAACAGGAUUAGAUACCCUGGUAGUCCACGCCGUAAACGAUGAGUGCUAAGUGUUAGGGGGUUUCCGCCCCUUAGUGCUGCAGCUAACGCAUUAAGCACUCCGCCUGGGGAGUACGGUCGCAAGACUGAUACUCAAACGAAUUGACGAGGGCCCUCUCAGCGGUGGUGAAGUGGUUUAAUUCAAGCAAGGAAAA